This 1300-nucleotide long non-coding RNA is filed under the name Cricetulus griseus (Chinese hamster). RNAcentral's name for it is "lncRNA (ENSCGRG00015039679.1)". Lineage: Eukaryota; Metazoa; Chordata; Mammalia; Rodentia; Cricetidae. The record is from RNAcentral.
CUUGCACCCUGGUGUGCAUUCAUGUGGGUGCACACUCACAAACGUGCACGAACACACAUAGUAAUAUUAAAUGCAAAAAAAUUGAACAACAACAAAAUGAUCACGUGCUGUUGGGAGCCAAAUCUCAGGGCUGGGCAUGAGAUCCUAGGCCAUGCUUGGCAGGCCACAUAGCUAACCUUUACAUAGCAGCUCCUGCAAACCUCAGCUCAAGAAAAGAAACAACUUGACCCAGUCCUCCACCCACAGGCUCAGUCACCUAGCCAACCCCUUCUUGGACCUCUUACUCAUGAACUCUGUACCCUGCCAAACCUCUUUGUUGCUUCCUAAUAUCCUGCCUAUACUAACACCUGGUGCACAAACAACCCAUUCUGCCCCUCCCCAUAUCCUGACUAUAUAAGCUAGCCUGAGAAAAGUAAAGUUUGCCACUUGAUCAGAAUCCUGUCUUGUGGUCAAUCUUUCUGUGUCUCUUGUCCCCAUUCCCUAUCCCUGACUCUCUUGCCCCAGAUUGAUGUCCUGCAGGACGGGACAACUGGUGCCCAACGUGUGGCCGGAUAGAGUUGGGGAUCUGGGAACUUCAGUGCUCAUUAGAGGGACAGGCCCGUCCAUGCAGUGAGGCGUCCACAACAAGGUCGAUCGUGAGCCUCAGUUGGAGGAAGACCCAGCAGCCUGCCCAGCGCUUGGGACUUCAUAGGUUCAUGAGCAUCACCUAUGUGGAAAAGACCCCAAACUCCUCUUCAGAUGUGCAUGAUGCAGAGGUGCACGUGCCACAGCCUUCCCCAUAAGAAGUCAGAAGACCACUCUGGAGCCCGUGCUCAUGCCAUCUUCAUCCGGGUUACAAGGAUUUCACUUAGGUGGCCAGAUUUGCAUGAGCUUUUAUCCAGUAGCUGAUGGAAGCAGACACAGACACCCAAAGCUAAACACUGAGCUGAACUCUAGAAUCCAGUUGCAGAGAGGAAGGAGUGAUGAUCAAAGGGGUCAAGAGCAGGCUGGAGAAACCCACAGAAACAGCUGACCUGAAUAAGAGGGAGUUCAUGGAGCCAAGACUGAGAGCUGGGAAACCAGCAUAGGACUGUUCCAGACCCCCUGAACGUGGGUAUCAGUAAGGAGGCCUGGGCAGUCUAUGGGGCCUCUGGUAGUGGAUCAGUGUUUAUCCCUAGUAUAAGAAUGGACUUUGGGAGCCCUCUCCUCAUAGAGGGAUACUCUCUCAGCCUAGACACACUGGGGAGGGUCUAGGCCCUGCUGCAAAUGUUAUGACAGACUUUGAAGAUCCCCCAAGGAAGGCCUCACCCUCCCUGGGGAG